This is a long non-coding RNA of Pygoscelis adeliae (Adelie penguin), 1246 nucleotides long. RefSeq lists it as uncharacterized. The record is from RefSeq and is a predicted model, not a curated record. The transcript has 3 exons. NCBI's taxonomy places the organism in Eukaryota, Metazoa, Chordata, Aves, Sphenisciformes, Spheniscidae.
GUUACCAGAUUUGAAGGAAGCACGCAUAUCAUUUCUGACCGUUACCUCUGUAUGACUGGAGAUCCAGGAACUUGGCGUGUCCCUGUGCAUCUUGGUAGUGCACAUUCACAGUAUCGUCAGGUGCGACAGUAAGCUGAGCUGACUUGAAGACUGAGUUGCUGCUUCUCCAGAAGGAUGAUGGACUUUGCAGCUGAGGUUAUUAACAAGCUAACAGAGGAGAUUUAUAACGUACAGGCUAAGAAUGGAGAGUUUCCCCUGGUGUCAGCGUUCUGAUCUGAAACUCGCCACUGCUUUUCUAACACACCUGCUGAUCUCCAGCUUGCACAUCUUUCAUCAUGCCCAAGGAUGCCCUGUGUGACUCGAGGGUCAGCAAGGAGAGACUGAGUAGAGCAUGCCCAAAUUCUUAUAAUGGGGCAAACAGACGCCUAAGGGAUUUUGAUUCUAGGAACUUUGUGUACUGUAAUUUCUUUUUUUCUUGACCGGUUCAUGCGUACCUUUUGCUGUGAGCUUUUUAUUUUUCACCUUCUUUGGGAGUUAGAGGGGAACAAGUACAGAUACUGGAUUGUCAGAUUAGAAGUUACAGUAACUUUUCUUUUCAAGGUGAGAGAAACAUCUCUAUUGGUUUUGUAAGCUAUUAUUAAAAAGUCUUCAGCAUGCCUGGAGAAUCACUGCUACAGGUCCCUGCAGGCCAGCUGCCGUUUUGUGUAGCACUGACACCCUUCGGAGCUCUGGCUGGAGGAGGUCGGCAGCCUUAACGCUGCAAAGCCGCCCCCUUGGACUUUGGUAUUUUCACAUCUCCUCUUCCCAAGUUACUGUGCAACCUGCAGAAGGACACCGUUAAAAGGCAACGUUAAUGGCAUUUGCUUAGAUUCUCUUUCAAGCUUUAAAUGUAGCAAAAUUUCAGCAUUGCUUCCACUGCAGUUUCGUGUUUCAGAGCUGAUGUGUACCUUGCCACUGUUCAAGUGCAAUUGUUUUGGUUAGUUAUGAGUUCUUCUGACUGAAAUAGCUAUGUCAGUGUAAGCCCAAGAUGUUUUAGGUUUUCUGGCAUAACUUCUUUCCCUUCCUUUUCUGCUAUGUCUACUAUAUCUGGACUUGGGCAUUUGCUGUGCUUUAACAAUCCCAUUAUAAUCAGAGCAAUGCAAUUUGCCUGUAGACAAGCUCUUAAUGUCAUUUACAGUGAUUAUACCUGUGUUAAAAUUACAGUAUUGGUUCAGAGCAAUCUAAUUAUUUAAAAAUAUUAUUUCAA